GCGGGGGGCACGCCUGCCGGGGGGGGGUUGUUUUUUUGGCAUGGAAACGACCCCCCCCUCCCAAAGGCUCCAAAAUGCCAAAAAAGCCAAAAAUUAAAAAAAAGCAUUGCAAAAAUAAAUAAAUAAAUAAACACAAUCUCCCCAAACGAAAUUGCAAAAAAAAAAAAUUAAAAAUUGCAAAAAAAAAAAAUCAUGAUAAAACCGGAGGGAAAUGUGGAAAACACCCCCCCCCCUCCGCGGUGCAAGCCGCACCCAGGCGGGGAGAAGGGCAGAAACCUGCUGCGUGCUGCCCUGCCAGCCUGGGGGGGGGUCCCAAACCCCUCCUUUCCCCCCCAGUUUUCUUUAUUUCUCCAAAGUUUGUGCAGUCUGGUUGCUGUGACCUGCGCUGCUUCAAGGGGGGGAGGGGGGGUUUGUUUUUUUCCCUCUUAAAAAAAGCAGAAUUGGAUCCGGCGCUAAAAAGAUUCCCUCUCUUUUUUUUCCUCCCCCCACCCCCGCCCGGAGGAUUUGAAAUCCCUUUUUUUGGGCGGGGGAAAUGGAUUCGUCUCGGUGUCUGGCUGGAAGCAGGAGCCGUUGGGAUGCCAAGGUAACAGAGCAAUGCAAAUAUUAAAAAAAGGCAAGAAUAAAAUCCUAGGAUGCUAAAUAAUAAUUACAAAGAAGCGAAAACCACUCAAAAGUGGAUGUUUGUCUGGACCGGUUUGAUCCAGAAAAUAAAACUGUCCUGGCGAACUUGACGUUUGGAUUAGGAGCGGAGCGUCCCGAUCCAUACGUUGUUGUUUAAAGCUGGAGGAGAGAUGACGGUGCAAAAAAGUGGAAGUCACGGGCGGCGUCGGACUUCUCAUCCCUUCAGCAGCGUUGAAGAAAAACUCUGGAGCCUGGAAACGCGACCGGAUUAUUACAGACAGUCUCGAGCGCAUUCCUAUUGAAACAGAAGUUAAAUUGUGUCCAAAGGGAGCCAUGUUUGCAGAACAAACUGAUGCAUCCUUGCAUCCAGUCAAGGUGAGUUGGGGACGUGAACUUAACAUCCCCUGACACUGGUGAAGCACCUCCAGGGUGGGAUCCCACGGGGUGCCGUCUCCACGUGGCAUUCCCAUUGAACUGAGCAUCCGGCUGCUAGGGUUGGGCACUGUACUUGGCGAGAGGAGCCAUUUUCCUCAAAGAGAUGGCUACUGAAAAUCCUUUGACAUUGGUUUGUAUACAAUUUAUUGAGAACCUAAAAUGGCAGGUGGCCGAUUUUUUGUUGUUGUUGUUGUUUGUUUUAAAAAAAAAAUGGUAAACUAUACUGCAAGAGAUGGUUUAAUCGUGUGCAUUUGAAUUGUUCUUUUGGCUUAAAUAGGUAUUGGUUAAAUUUCUCUCACAUAGACAUCAGGGCUGGAAGGGACCUCGGAAGAUCGUGGAGUCCAGCCCCCCGCCCCAGGGGCAGGAAGUCAGCACUGUAAUGUACUUACCUACUGCUCUCUCUCUUCCCCUCAUUUAAACCCCAAAGCAGAAUUGCCCCCCCCCACACACACCUCCCCCCACCCCUUUUUUUUACCUUCCUCUGGGGGGGGAUUGCUUUGAACUGCAGUAGCUUAGACCUGAGCUUGAAGGAUCCCCUUUUGAAAAGGCAGAAGUUAUUUGCUUUCGUGGUUUAGGUCACAGGGCCAGCCUGUGGCAUGGGCACCACAAGUGGCAGCCAGCCACAAAUGCCCUGGCAGAUCAGGGAGGGGACAGGCAGCGCAGUGGCAGAUGGGGCAGAAAGCAGAGCAGUAGAUCAGGCUCGGACUUGAAAGCAGAGAAGCAAAUCACACAGAGGAGGGAGAACAAGGGGAUCGGAGUAGAGCUUGGGAAGGGGGGGGUGCUAAUUUUGUGGCAUGCCUGCCGAAAAGGUCAUCCCCGGCUAGUUUAGGAUUUGACUUUUAUGCACAUCCCUGAGACCCUUAGUCUGACUGUCAUCUUAAAAGCAAAAUAGAGGUCUAGAACGAGGUUUGACAUAUUUGAAAUGAUUCACUCCUUAGAAAAGAAAAAUAACUAAGACAAUGGGUAGGACCAGUCAAGCUAAGCCUCAUUUAGGAAAAGAAAGUCUGGACAAGAAUAAAAAUGGGAUCUGUCUACCUGUAUGUGUAUAUGUAGGUUACUUGCUACUGAUAGCAGAAUAGCCUUCACCCUUUUUGAGUAUAUAGCAUGUGCAUUGCCGUGAGAACACAAAAUACACACAAAAAAAUCCCCCCAGACAUUUAUGUUUGCAUUAAUUCAGUACAGGCUAUUACAAUUUUUGACAUCCCAAUUCUUAAGUUAUGCUUUAAGAAAUAAAAAGGGUGGGGAACAGAUAAGCAGGACCCCACAGAGGUAUUUGGGGUGUUGGCACACAGGUGAUAGCAUAGGAGAUGUGUGAAGGGGGAGUUCUCUUACAGCUUGAAUUUGUAAUAUUCUUGUUGAAACACCAGAGGAAGGAGGAGGAAGAUAGCAUGAUCCCAUCUCAUCACAUGACUAGGAAAAAUCUCAAGGAUACACAGAAGUAUCAAGCUUACCUUCAUCACCUUUUAUGCCAGCAUAAACAGGGUAACUCCUCCUAAGGCUGCAGACUGGAAAGUCAAUCUAGAGAAUCAAAAAAACCAAAACACAUUAUUUUCUCUCCUUUCCUUCACAGGCAUUUUGUUCUCUGUCUACGUGGGCAGGGAAAGUACUGGAAUUGUGGGAAUUUUGAGGUUUGGGGGGAGGGGGGGAUUUCUUCUGUUCACAUUUAAAUGCAGAAGUUUUACAAAUCUGAAUGAGAUGGGUCUUAAUUGCCUAAGCACAGAAAAAGUCAUUUCCAAGUUCUGAAAUAAUCUGAAUUUGGACAAUCUCAAUUGGGAGAAAUCAGAGAAAGAGGAAAAUUCAACAUCUUGUGUGCUACCUAAGUAUUUCUGAUGGCAGGUCUUGCCCCUGGCGAAAUCCCUUUAGCAUUUAACCUGGCACCCAGCUGCCAAAAAACAGUCCUAGAGAAGUAGGGCUGGAAGGGCCAGCCCUCCAGCGGUCAUCUAGUCCAGCCCCCUGCCUAAGGCAGGAUCAGCCCCAUCCAAGCCAUCCCUUACAACUCUAAUGUAACCUGGCAGCGUUGUAUUGCCUCUAUUGCAAGGGGACGAAGUCCUGCACGAGGGAUUAGGACGCAGGCUGGCAAGCCUGAAAAUAUAGUGGGCUCCUGCAAGCCGACUAGGCGUAUUUUUGGGCAAAUAAAAUGCUCCCGCAUCUAACUUUUUGUUUUCAGGCAUGUUUGCAGUAGCUGUAUUCUUGUGUAAUGACUUGUUCUCUUAUAGUUUCAGACUGGUAGCACGUGAGUGAAGAACACACUGCCAACACGACAUUAUAAAUGCCUUCCUCUGAUCGUAGAGCGCUCUUCCAUCUUAUGGUUGUUUUAUUGUUUGUUUUUUCCCUCUUUCCAAAAACUAAACCAAAAAAAAAUAAUCAAAAUACCAUUUGGGAUUUCAACAUUCAUUGGGCUUUGAGGAGAUGUAGCAGCACAUCAUGGUUUGUAGGGACAAGGAGAUACAGACCAUUCUGGGCUGCCUCAUUACCUCAAGGAUAAGACAAGAAAUUGAGCUUCUGGGUAUCAUAGAGGUGGAAGCUAACACACGCUCACGUAUCUCUUAGGUCAGUUGAACCAGGUACGUGUGGAUCGGCUUGCUCUGCGCUUGCACGUGUGUGCGCUUUUCUUUCCAGCCUUGCCGAGAGACCAAGCGUUGCCUUUUCACGCCUCUUGGCCUGUUGCGAGGGGGCUUGGGGCUUUGCUGUCUGACCCGCAGAGAUUUCACUAGUUUCUUACCCCCCACCCCCCCCACCCCUCCCAUUGGCCAAGCGCUUGACCCUAAGGAGGAGGCAGGGUACAGCCUUGCUUCUGCCAUCUGCUCCAGGUAACCCUCUUUUUUUUUUUCCCCCCUUAUGGUGCAAUGCUUUCUCCCAUGUCUUAGCACCGGUGCUGGGACCGGACCGCCGGAGGGGGGCUCGGGAAGCGCGGGCCACCUCUCCAAGUGGACGUGUCAGCAGUGCUCUAGCAGCACGUAAAUACUGGAGUCGAGGACUGCCUGGCUGCUCUCCAGUAUUGCAUUGCUGCUUGAGUGAGGCUGGAUCUCGGUGCCUGCCGCAGGAGCCCACAAGCACCUCCGAGGGGGUGGGGGGGCGGCGUCUCUGGCCCUGCUGUAGCCCUCGUCGCAAUAAAGCCUGGCCCAAGAGGCAGAACCCGUGGUGUGCUGUGCUGUGCUGUGGUGUGGCGUGGCGUGGCGUGUGUGUGUACGGGUGCUCUUUGCAUGGGGGAGCAGCAGGGU
Alligator sinensis (Chinese alligator) is the source of this 4277-nucleotide long non-coding RNA. RefSeq lists it as uncharacterized. The transcript has 3 exons. Lineage: Eukaryota; Metazoa; Chordata; Crocodylia; Alligatoridae. The record is from RefSeq and is a predicted model, not a curated record.